GUGUCAGCAGCCGCGGUAAUACGAACUGUGCGAACGUUAUUCGGAAUCACUGGGCUUAAAGGGUGCGUAGGCGGCGGCACAAGUCAGGUGUGAAAUCCCCCGGCUCAACCGGGGAACAGCGCUUGAAACUAGGUCGCUCGAGUGAGGCAGGGGUAUGUGGAACUUCCGGUGGAGCGGUGAAAUGUGUAGAUAUCGGAAGGAACGCCGGCGGCGAAAGCGGCAUACUGGGCCUUGUCUGACGCUGAGGCACGAAAGCCAGGGGAGUGAACGGGAUUAGAUACCCCGGUAAUCCUGGCCGUAAACACUGAGCACUGGAGGAGAGGGGCUUCGGCCUUUCUCCUCGCAGCGAAAGCGUUAAGUGCUCCGCCUGGGGAGUAUGGUCGCAAGGCUGAA
This 393-nucleotide ribosomal RNA is filed under the name uncultured bacterium. RNAcentral's name for it is "bacterial SSU rRNA". It matches the Rfam family "Bacterial small subunit ribosomal RNA", at positions 505 to 898 of the family's 1533-position model. The record is from RNAcentral.